ACACACGGGGACACUAUGAUGAGGCCAGGUGAGCGCACAUUGGGACACUAUGAUGGGGCUAGGUGAAUGCACACUGGGACACUGUGAUGUGGCUAGGUGAGAGCACACUGGGGCACUAUGAUGGGGUUAGGUGAGCGCACACUGGGACACUAUGAUGAGGCUAGGUGAGCGAACACUGGGGCACUAUGAUGACGCCAGAUGACUGCACACUGGGGUACUAUGAUGAGUCUAGGUGAGUGCACACUGGGGCACUAUGAUGAGGCCAGGUGAGCGCAGACUGGGGCACUAUGAUGAGGCCAGGUGAGCGCACACUGGACACUGUAAUAAGGCCCGGUGAGCGUACACUGAGGCACUAUGAUGAGGCCAGGUGAGCGCACACUGGGGCACUAUGAUGAGGCCAGGUGAGCGCACACUGGGACACUAUGAUGAUGCCGGAUGAGCGCACACUGGGACACUAUGAUGAGGCCAGGUGAGCACACUCUGCGACACUAUGAUGAGGCCAGGUGAGGGCACACUGAGGCACUAUGAUGAGGCCGGGUGAGCGCACAGUGGGACACUAUGAUGAGGCCAGGUGAGCGCACACUGGGACACUAUGAUGAGGCCGGGUGAGCACACACUGGGACACUUUGAUGAGGCCAGGUGAGUGCAUACUGGGACCCUAUGAUGAGGCCAGGUGAGUGCACACUGGGACACUAUGAUGAGGCUAGGUGAGCGGACACUGGGACACUAUGAUGAGGCUAGGUGAGCGCACACUGAGGCACUAUGAUGAGGCCGGGUGAGCGCACACUGGGGCACUAUGAUGAUGCCGGGUGAGCGCACAGUGGGACACUAUGAUGAGGCUAGGUGAGUGCACACUGGGACACUAUGAUGAGGCCAGGUGAGUGCACACUGUGGCACUAUGAUGAGGCUAGUUGAGUUCACACUGGGGCAUUAUGAUGAAGCUAGGUGAGCGCACACUGUGACAGUAAGAUGAGGCCAGGUGAGCGCACACUGGGACAGUAAGAUGAGGCCAGGUGAGCGCACACUGGGACACUAUGAUGAGGCUAGGUGAGUGCACCCUGGGGCACUAUGAUGAGGCCGGGUGAGUGCACACUGCGACACUAUGGUGAGGCUAGGUGAGUGCACACUGCGGCACUAUGAUGAGGCCGGGUGAGCGUACACUGGGGCACUAUGAUGAGGCUAGCUGAGUGCACACUGGGGCGGUAUGAUGAGGCUCGGUGAGUGCACACUGGGACACUAUGAUGAGGCUAGGUGAGUGCACGCUGGGGCACUAUGAGGCUCGGUGAGUGCACACUGUGACACUAUGAUGAGGCUAGGUGAGUGGAUACUGCGGUACUAUGAUGAGGGCAGGUGAGUGCACACUGGGACAUGAUGAGGCUAGGUGAUUGCACACUGGGGCACUAUAAUGAGGUCAGAUCAACGCACACUGGGGCACUAUGUUGAGGCUAGGUGAGUGCACACUGGGAAACUAUGAUAAGGCUAGAUGAGUGUACACUGGGGCACUAUGAUGACGCUAGCUCAGUGCACACUGGGACACUAUGAUGAGGCCGGGUGAGUGCACACUGGGACACUAUGAUGAGGCCAGGUGAGCGCACACUGGGACACUAUGAUGAGGCUAGGUGAGGGGACACUAGGGCACUAUGUUGAGGCUAGGUGAGCGCACACUGGGACACUAUGAUGAGGCCGGUUGAGUGCACACUGGGGCACUAUGCUGAGGCUAGGUGAGUGCUCACUGGGGCACUAUGAUGAGGCCAGGUGAUUGCACACUGGGACACUAUGAUGAGGCCGUAUGCGUGCACACUGGAACACUAUGAUGAGGCUAGGUGAGCGCACACUGGAACACUAUGAUGAGGCUAGGUGAGCGCACACUGGGACACUAUGAUGAGGCUAGGUGAACACACACUGGGACACUAUAAUGAGGCUCGGUGUGUGCACACGGGGGCACUAUGAUGAGGCUAGGUGAGCGCACACUGGGACACUAUGAUGAGGCUAGGUGAGUGCACACUGGGACACUAUGAUGGGGCUAGGUGAGUGCACACUGGGACACUAUGAUGUGGCUAGGUGUGAGCACACUGGGGCACUAUGAUGGGGUUAGGUGAGCGCACACUGGGACACUAUGAUGAGGCUAGGUGAGUGCACACUGGGGCACUAUGAUGAGGCUAGGUGAGUGCACACUGGGGCACUAUGAUGAGGCUAGGUGAGUGCACACUGGGGCACUAUGAUGAGGCUAGGUGAGUGCACACUGGGACACUAUGAUGAGGCCGGGUGAGUGCACACUGGGACCCUAUGAUGAGGCCGGGUGAGUGCACACUGGGACCCUAUGAUGAGGCCGGGUGAGUGCACACUGGGACACUAUGAUGAGGCUAGCUGAGUGCACACUGGGGCACUAUGAUGAGGCUAGGUGAGCGCACACUGGGACACUAUGAUGAGGCCGGGUGAGCGAACACUGGGACACUAUGAUGAGGCUAGGUGAGGGCACACUGGGGCACUAUGAUGAGGCCGGGUGAGCGCACACUGGGGCACUAUGAUGAGGCUAGGUGAGCGCACACUGGGAUACCAUGAUGAGGCCAGGUGAGUGUACACUGGGACACUAUGAUG
This 2598-nucleotide long non-coding RNA is filed under the name Homo sapiens (human). RNAcentral's name for it is "HSALNT0338016". Lineage: Eukaryota; Metazoa; Chordata; Mammalia; Primates; Hominidae. The record is from RNAcentral.